This 541-nucleotide small RNA is filed under the name Pongo abelii (Sumatran orangutan). Its description in RNAcentral is "processed transcript". The record is from RNAcentral. Lineage: Eukaryota; Metazoa; Chordata; Mammalia; Primates; Hominidae.
UUUUUCUUUACUUCAGAGCCUCCCUGAAGAACGGGAAGCAAGUUUGUCUGGACCCGGAAGCUCCUUUUCUAAAGAAAGUCAUCCAGAAAAUUUUAGACAGUGGAAACAAGAAAAACUGAGUAACAAAAAGGACCAUGCAUCAUAAAAUUGCCCAGUCUUCAGCGGAGCAGUUUUCUGGAGAUCCCUGGACCCAGUGAGAAUAAGAAGGAAGGAGCCAUGCUGAAAGAUGGGAGGAAAAUGUACCUGGACCUAGAAGCUCCCAGAAUCAAGAAGAUAGUCCAGAAAAUGUUGGAAGGUGAUGGGUCAGCUGCUUAAUCUGUUCACUUUCUGCCAAACCUGUUUACCUCCCAGGAAGGGCAGGAUUUUAAAGCCUUGACUUUCUUGAAUUCUUGUUUUAUCCAAGAUACCUACUCUUACUGUAUUAAAAUUCGGGUAUGUUUCCAUUCUCUCUCAAAAAUCACAUUUUAUUCUGAGAAGGCUAGUUAAAAGAUGACAGAAAGAAGAUGAAAAUAAGCAAGCCUAGUUUAAACAUAGUAUAUGG